Molecule: microRNA, 25 nt
Filed under: Eisenia fetida (common brandling worm)
Lineage: Eukaryota; Metazoa; Annelida; Clitellata; Crassiclitellata; Lumbricidae
Description: Efe-Mir-87-o14_5p* (star (passenger))
Source: RNAcentral
GCACUUGAAAUCUUGUCUCAGGCCU